RNAcentral lists this long non-coding RNA (440 nucleotides) under Fukomys damarensis (Damara mole-rat). Its description in RNAcentral is "lncRNA (ENSFDAG00000024586.1)". The record is from RNAcentral. Lineage: Eukaryota; Metazoa; Chordata; Mammalia; Rodentia; Bathyergidae.
UGCUUGAGAGGCAGGCAGAAACACCACUGAGCUAAAUCCCCAGCCCUAAAUGAUUAAUUUUUAGAGUUGCUUAUCAUCCUACAUUCCGUGUGAUCUUUCAAAGUACUCACCUAAAAUUUGGUUUAGCCUUGUUCUUGUAAAGUCUUCGAUUUGAAGGUGUUGACAUUCCAACAGAUAAUGCUUCUAAGUUCUCAAGAGAAGGUACAGGGGUCACUUAAUUUGGAAUCUCUAAUUAGCCAUUCACAUAUCACAGGCUCUCACCAUUAUAUGCAAUCAACACUGGAGGUUUCCUGAGAGCUUAAGGGACACCAGCAAUUACUUUCCUAACUGGAUGGAAAGCAUGCAAGGUAUGUGGAUUACCUACUAAUACCAAAGCACCUUUCCCAUUCCUUGAACAGUUUCUCUUGGAAAACUGCGACAGCCUCUUAGCUCAAUCCCUU